Molecule: non-coding RNA, 75 nt
Organism: Macrobrachium nipponense
Lineage: Eukaryota; Metazoa; Arthropoda; Malacostraca; Decapoda; Palaemonidae
Source: the annotation of a RefSeq genome assembly
UACUUCGUGGCGCAGUGGUAGCGCGCUCGGCUCACCACCGAGAGAUCCCGGGUUCGAAUCCUGGGCGAAGAGAAA